Molecule: ribosomal RNA, 501 nt
Filed under: uncultured Lachnospiraceae bacterium
Lineage: Bacteria; Bacillati; Bacillota; Clostridia; Lachnospirales; Lachnospiraceae
Description: partial 16S ribosomal RNA
Source: RNAcentral
CACGUAGUUAGCCGGGGCUUCUUAGUCAGGUACCGUCAUUUUUUCUUCCCUGCUGAUAGAGCUUUACAUACCGAAAUACUUCUUCACUCACGCGGCGUCGCUGGAUCAGGGUUUCCCCCAUUGUCCAAUAUUCCCCACUGCUGCCUCCCGUAGGAGUUUGGGCCGUGUCUCAGUCCCAAUGUGGCCGUCCACCCUCUCAGGCCGGCUACUGAUCGUCGCCUUGGUGGGCCGUUACCUCACCAACCAGCUAAUCAGACGCGGGUCCAUCAUAUACCACCGUAGUUUUUCACACUGUCUCAUGCAAUACUGUGCGCUUAUGCGGUAUUAGCACCUAUUUCUAAGUGUUAUCCCCCUGUAUAUGGCAGGUUACCCACGCGUUACUCACCCGUCCGCCACUAAGUCAUCAACAUUUCCACUCUUAGCAAGCUAAUUGCUUCAAAAAUGAUGACUCCGUUCGACUUGCAUGUGUUAAGCACGCCGCCAGCGUUCAUCCUGAGCCAA